AACGUACGCUGGCGGCACGCUUAACACAUGCAAGUCGAACGAAGUAGCAAUACUUAGUGGCAGAACGGGUGAGUAACAUGUGGGUAUCUGCCCUUUGGCCUGGAAUAACACGAGGAAACUUGUGCUAAUACCGGAUAAGUCUUUACGGAGAAAGCUUUAUGCACCAUUGGAUGAGCCUGCACUUGAUUAGUUUGUUGGUGGGGUAAUGGCCUACCAAGACUGUGAUCAAUAGCUGAUUUGAGAGGAUGAUCAGCCACAUUGGGACUGAGACACGGCCCAAACUCCUACGGGAGGCAGCAGUGGGGAAUCUUGCACAAUGGAGGAAACUCUGAUGCAGCGAUGCCGCGUGAGUGAAGAAGGCCCUUGGGUUGUAAAGCUCUUUCGUCGGGGAAGAAAAUGACUGUACCCGAAUAAGAAGGUCCGGCUAACUUCGUGCCAGCAGCCGCGGUAAUACGAAGGGACCUAGCGUAGUUCGGAAUUACUGGGCUUAAAGAGUUCGUAGGUGGUUGAAAUAGUUAGUGGUGAAAUCCCAGAGCUUAACUCUGGAACUGCCAUUAAAACUUUUCAGCUAGAGUUUGAUAGAGGAAAGCAGAAUUUCUAGUGUAGAGGUGAAAUUCGUAGAUAUUAGAAAGAAUACCAAUUGCGAAGGCAGCUUUCUGGAUCAUUACUGACACUGAGGAACGAAAGCAUGGGUAGCGAAGAGGAUUAGAUACCCUCGUAGUCCAUGCCGUAAACGAUGUGUGUUAGACGUUGGAAAUUUAUUUUCAGUGUCGCAGCGAAAGCGAUAAACACACCGCCUGGGGAGUACGACCGCAAGGUUAAAACUCAAAUGAAUUGACGGGGACCCGCACAAGUAGUGGAGCAUGUGGUUUAAUUCGAAGAUACGCGCAGAACCUUACCAACACUUGACAUGUUCGUCGCGACUCUAAGAGAUUAGAGUUUUCGGUUCGGCCGGACGAAACACAGGUGCUGCAUGGCUGUCGUCAGCUCGUGUCGUGAGAUGUUGGGUUAAGUCCCGCAACGAGCGCAACCCUCACUUUUAGUUGCCAUCAUUAAGUUGGGCACUCUGAAAGAACUGCCAGUGAUAAGCUGGAGGAAGGUGGGGAUGACGUCAAGUCCUCAUGGCCCUUACGUGUUGGGCUACACACGUGCUACAAUGGUAUCUACAACAGGAAGCAAGACUGCGAGGUCAAGCAAAUCCUUAAAAGAUACCUCAGUUCGGAUUGCACUCUGCAACUCGAGUGCAUGAAGCUGGAAUUACUAGUAAUCGUGGAUCAGCGUGCCACGGUGAAUGCGUUCCCGGGUCU
Molecule: ribosomal RNA, 1307 nt
Filed under: uncultured bacterium
Lineage: Bacteria
Description: bacterial SSU rRNA
Rfam family: Bacterial small subunit ribosomal RNA
Source: RNAcentral